RNAcentral lists this ribosomal RNA (552 nucleotides) under uncultured bacterium. RNAcentral describes it as "partial 16S ribosomal RNA". It matches the Rfam family "Bacterial small subunit ribosomal RNA", at positions 355 to 898 of the family's 1533-position model. The record is from RNAcentral.
UAGGGAAUCUUCCACAAUGGACGCAAGUCUGAUGGAGCAACGGCCGCGUGAGUGAAGAAGGUUUUCGGACCGUAAAGCUCUGUUGUUGGUGAAGAAGGAUAGAGGUAGUAACUGGCCUUUAUUUGACGGUAAUCAACCAGAAAGUCACGGCUAACUACGUGCCAGCAGCCGCGGUAAUCGUAGGUGGCAAGCGUUGUCCGGAUUUAUUGGGCGUAAAGCGAGCGCAGGCGGAAGAAUAAGUCUGAUGUGAAAGCCCUCGGCUUAACCGAGGAAUUGCAUCGGAAACUGUUUUCUUGAGUGCAGAAGAGGAGAGUAGAACUCCAUGUGUAGCGGUGGAAUGCGUAGAUAUAUGGAAGAAUACCAGUGGCGAAGGCGGCUCUCUGGUCUGCAACUGACGCUGAGGCUCGAAAGCAUGGGUAGCGAACAGGAUUAGAUACCCUGGUAGUCCAUGCCGUAAACGAUGAGUGCUAAGUGUUGGGAGGCUUCCGCCUCUCAGUGCUGCAGCUAACGCAUUAAGCACUCCGCCUGGGGGAGUACGACCGCAAGGUUGAA